AAUAUAAUAGUGAUAUUAUAUUC
This 23-nucleotide unclassified non-coding RNA is filed under the name synthetic construct. RNAcentral describes it as "RNA (5'-R(P*AP*AP*UP*AP*UP*AP*AP*UP*AP*GP*UP*GP*AP*UP*AP*UP*UP*AP*UP*AP*UP*UP*C)... from synthetic construct (PDB 5F9H, chain J)". The record is from RNAcentral.